Molecule: ribosomal RNA, 451 nt
Filed under: uncultured bacterium
Lineage: Bacteria
Description: bacterial SSU rRNA
Rfam family: Bacterial small subunit ribosomal RNA
Source: RNAcentral
UCGCCAGACUCCUACGGGAGGCAGCAGUGGGGAAUAUUGGGCAAUGGGCGCAAGCCUGACCCAGCAACGCCGCGUGAAGGAAGAAGGCUUUCGGGUUGUAAACUUCUUUUAUGAGGGACGAAACAAAUGACGGUACCUCAUGAAUAAGCCGCGGCUAACUACGUGCCAGCAGCCGCGGUAAUACGUAGGUGGCAAGCGUUAUCCGGAUUUACUGGGUGUAAAGGGAGCGUAGGCGGCAGGGCAAGCCUGAUGUGAAAGCCCGGGGCUCAACCCCGGGACUGCAUUGGGAACUGCCCCGCUCGAGUGCCGGAGGGGCAGGCGGAAUUCCUAGUGUAGCGGUGAAAUGCGUAGAUAUUAGGAGGAACACCAGUGGCGAAGGCGGCCUGCUGGACGGUGUACUGACGCUGAGGCUCGAAAGCGUGGGGAGCAAACAGGAUUAGAUACCCUAGUA